CCUACGGGUGGCUGCAGUCGAGAAUCAUUCACAAUGGGGGAAACCCUGAUGGUGCGACGCCGCGUGGGGGAAUGAAGGUCUUCGGAUUGUAAACCCCUGUCAUGUGGGAGCAAAUUAAAAAGAUAGUACCACAAGAGGAAGAGACGGCUAACUCUGUGCCAGCAACCGCGGUAAUACAGAGGUCUCAAGCGUUGUUCGGAAUCACUGGGCGUAAAGCGUGCGUAGGCUGUUUCGUAAGUCGUGUGUGAAAGGCGCGGGCUCAACCCGCGGACGGCACAUGAUACUGGGAGACUAGAGUAAGGGAGGGGGAACCGGAAUUCGCGGUGUAGCAGUGAAAUGCGUAGAUAUCGAGAGGAACACUCGUGGCGAAGGCGGGUUCCUGGACAUUAACUGACGCUGAGGCACGAAGGCCAGGGGAGCGAAAGGGAUUAGAUACCCGAGUAGUC
This 446-nucleotide ribosomal RNA is filed under the name uncultured bacterium. Its description in RNAcentral is "partial 16S ribosomal RNA". It matches the Rfam family "Bacterial small subunit ribosomal RNA", at positions 338 to 795 of the family's 1533-position model. The record is from RNAcentral.